Non-coding RNA from Prunus avium (sweet cherry), 1046 nucleotides. NCBI's taxonomy places the organism in Eukaryota, Viridiplantae, Streptophyta, Magnoliopsida, Rosales, Rosaceae. The record is from RefSeq and is a predicted model, not a curated record.
UUUAAAAAGCCACCGAUGCCUAAAGGGUAGUCAACGCUAGUCCAAAAUUUUUCACGCUCUCCCUCUCAAACUCUCGCCCUAACUUCCAUCUCCCUCUCAAUUUUUUCAAUCCCUCUCAAACUCUCGCCCUAACUCCUCUCCCUCUCAAACUCUCUAUUUCUUCUCUCUCCUCCAUCACUGCUUCUUUCUCUCUCAGAUGUUCCGACCAUGGCCGGUGCUUUCCUCAGGGCUAAAGCCCAGCCACCCCUGCCCAUCCCUCAGCCGCGGCGAGCUUCGAAAGGUCGCCUUUGGUGCAUGAGAAACCUUCAAAUUUUAGUAGAGUCUUUCUAGUUUCUCCACUGGACACCUUUGGUGCGAUGCCAAAAGCCAAUCUGAGUUUGGAUCUCGUUUUUCUUCCUAUAUGUUCCUAUAAAUGUUAAAUAUGCUUCUUCAGAUUGCAUGCUCAAAGAAGAAGUAGAUAUCUGGGAUUUGGGUUGACACAGAGAUGGCCGAAAGAUUGAGUUUCGCAGCUCUUCGUCAGCACUAGAAUGGCUGUGGACCGUAUAACUCAAAGACCCAAAGGAUUCGGUUUUGUCACUUACAAGUCAGAUGUUGAGGCACAAAAAGCUUUGAAGGCCAUGAAUGGCAGGGUAAUUUCCUUCUUCCCUAUGGUUAAAAUUUUUAAUUUUAUUUUUAUAAAUGGGCAGGCCUCCUUGCUGUGAUAAAGAAGGGGUCAAGAAAGGACCUUGGACUCCCGAAGAAGAUAUCAUUUUGGUCUAUUACAUUCAAGAACAUGGUCCUGGAAAUUGGAGGGCUGUUCCUACCAAUACAGUGUAGAGCUAGAUGGAAAGACACGUACACCUAUAUGGAAUUGGAUGAGGUGCGAGAAGAAUUGGCAACUCAUGUCCUAUAAUGGCUUUUUAAUUGAACGAAACAUUCCUCCUUCAUUUUACAUGUCUUUCUAGCUAGUAUUUUGCGUAUAUAUAGACAAGUAUGGAUAAUUUGUGGUGUGGGGCUGGAAAAAUUGUGAUUUGGAUGUGACAAGUGGAUCAUUCAAGUAUUUUGCU